RNAcentral lists this unclassified non-coding RNA (264 nucleotides) under Folsomia fimetaria. Its description in RNAcentral is "sequence contains ITS2". Lineage: Eukaryota; Metazoa; Arthropoda; Collembola; Entomobryomorpha; Isotomidae. The record is from RNAcentral.
UUAGUCAAACUGAUGGUUCUUGGAUAUGAAAAUAUAUGUGAACCUGUUUGAUCUUUCAUCGCCGGGUUUUACAGCCCGGUUAGAAUUGUUAGCAAGUAUAUGCAAGCUAAAUUGAAUAUAUGCCUGUCUAUGAAAUACACCAUGCGAGAGUAAUAUGUAGCGGUGAUUUUAUCCCRUGCAAUCUCUUGACRUGCUACGUAGACAGUAGAAAAUAUUUAGUGAGUAACUUGUUACAUUUUAUAAAAUAAAAUAAAAUCAAACAUA